RNAcentral lists this transfer RNA (73 nucleotides) under Canis lupus familiaris (dog). It matches the Rfam family "tRNA". From Rfam's summary of the family: Transfer RNA (tRNA) molecules are approximately 80 nucleotides in length. Their secondary structure includes four short double-helical elements and three loops (D, anti-codon, and T loops). Further hydrogen bonds mediate the characteristic L-shaped molecular structure. tRNAs have two regions of fundamental functional importance: the anti-codon, which is responsible for specific mRNA codon recognition, and the 3' end, to which the tRNAs corresponding amino acid is attached (by aminoacyl-tRNA synthetases). tRNAs cope with the degeneracy of the genetic code in two manners: having more than one tRNA (with a specific anti-codon) for a particular amino acid; and 'wobble' base-pairing, i.e. permitting non-standard base-pairing at the 3rd anti-codon position. Lineage: Eukaryota; Metazoa; Chordata; Mammalia; Carnivora; Canidae. RNAcentral also lists the same sequence under 1 other name. The record is from Rfam by way of RNAcentral.
GCCUGGUUGGUUCAGUUGGCAGAGCAUGAGACUCUUGAUUUCAGGGUCUUGAGUUCAAGUCCCACAUUGAGCA